RNAcentral lists this unclassified non-coding RNA (353 nucleotides) under Hevea brasiliensis (rubber tree). The record is from RNAcentral. Lineage: Eukaryota; Viridiplantae; Streptophyta; Magnoliopsida; Malpighiales; Euphorbiaceae.
GGAUUAAACCAAAUUCAGGAUGCUAUCGCGGCGUAUAAGAAGGGACUCGAGAUUGAUCCCAACAAUGAAGCGUUGAAAUCCGGUUUGGCUGAUGCUCAGGCCGCAGCUUCCAGGUCGCGAGCCGUGCCGCCGCCGAGUCCGUUUGGGGAUGCCUUCUCUGGGCCGGAGAUGUGGGCCAAAUUGACGGCGGAUCCAACUACGAGGAUGUAUCUGCAGCAACCGGAUUUUGUUAAGAUGAUGCAGGAGAUUCAAAAGAAUCCUAGCAAUUUGAAUCUGUACUUGAAAGAUCAGAGAGUGAUGCAAGCCUUGGGUGUUUUAUUGAACGUGAAAUUCAGAGCACCAAAUGCUGGAGA